AUCGUAAAACUCUGUUGUUGGUGAAGAACAGAUCUGAGAGUAACUGUUCAGGUAUUGACGGUAUUUAACCAGAAAGCCACGGCUAACUACGUGCCAGCAGCCGCGGUAAUACGUAGGUGGCAAGCGUUGUCCGGAUUUAUUGGGCGUAAAGCGAGCGCAGGCGGUUUUUUAAGUCUGAUGUGAAAGCCUUCGGCUCAACCGAGGAAGUGCAUCGGAAACUGGGAAACUUGAGUGCAGAAGAGGAGAGUGGAAUUCCAUGUGUAGCGGUGAAAUGCGUAGAUAUAUGGAAGAACACCAGUGGCGAAGGCGGCUCUCUGGUCUGUAACUGACGCUGAGGCUCGAAAGCAUGGGUAGCAAACAGGAUUAGAUACCCUGGUAGUCCAUGCCGUAAACGAUGAAUGCUAAGUGUUGGAGGGUUUCCGCCCUUCAGUGCUGCAGCUAACGCAUUAAGCACUCCGCCUGGGGAGUACGGCCGCAAGGUUGAAACUCAAAGGAAUUGACGGGGGCCCGCACAAGCGGUGGAGCAUGUGGUUUAAUUCGAAGCUACGCGA
Molecule: ribosomal RNA, 551 nt
Filed under: Lactiplantibacillus plantarum
Lineage: Bacteria; Bacillati; Bacillota; Bacilli; Lactobacillales; Lactobacillaceae
Description: bacterial SSU rRNA
Rfam family: Bacterial small subunit ribosomal RNA
Source: RNAcentral